UAGGGAAUCUUCCGCAAUGGGCGAAAGCCUGACGGAGCAACGCCGCGUGAGUGAUGAAGGUCUUCGGAUCGUAAAACUCUGUUAUUAGGGAAGAACAAAUGUGUAAGUAACUAUGCACGUCUUGACGGUACCUAAUCAGAAAGCCACGGCUAACUACGUGCCAGCAGCCGCGGUAAUACGUAGGUGGCAAGCGUUAUCCGGCAUUAUUGGGCGUAAAGCGCGCGUAGGCGGUUUUUUAAGUCUGAUGUGAAAGCCCACGGCUCAACCGUGGAGGGUCCUUGGAAACUGGAAGACUUGAGUGCAGAAGAGGAAAGUGGAAUUCCAUGUGUAGCGGUGAAAUGCGCAGAGAUAUGGAGGAAAACCAGUGGCGAAGGCGACUUUCUGGUCUGUAACUGACGCUGAUGUGCGAAAGCGUGGGGAUCAAACAGG
This 429-nucleotide ribosomal RNA is filed under the name Actinomycetes bacterium. RNAcentral describes it as "Actinobacteria bacterium partial 16S ribosomal RNA". It matches the Rfam family "Bacterial small subunit ribosomal RNA", at positions 355 to 776 of the family's 1533-position model. Lineage: Bacteria; Bacillati; Actinomycetota; Actinomycetes. The record is from RNAcentral.